Molecule: long non-coding RNA, 1647 nt
Organism: Ictalurus punctatus (channel catfish)
Lineage: Eukaryota; Metazoa; Chordata; Actinopteri; Siluriformes; Ictaluridae
Source: Ensembl
GUAAAUAAACAGACCGACAGGUAAAUAAACAGCCACGUCAAUAAACAGACAGACAGGUAAAUAAACACACAGGUAAAUAAACAGACAGGUAAAUAAACAGACAGACAGGUAAAUAAACAGACCGACAGGUAAAUAAACAGACAGGUCAAUAAACAGACAGACAGGUAAAUAAACACACAGGUAAAUGAUCAGACAGGUCAAUAAACAGACCGACAGGUAAAUAAACAGACCCAUCACUAAACAGACAGACAGGUAAAUAAACACACAGGUAAAUAAACAGACCGACAGGUAAAUAAACAGACAGGUCAAUAAACAGACAGACAGGUAAAUAAACUGACAGGUCAAUAAACAGACAGACAGGUAAAUAAACAGACAGGUAAAUAAACUGACAGGUCAAUAAACAGACAGACAGGUAAAUAAACACACAGGUAAAUAAACAGACAGGUCAAUAAACAGACAGACAGGUAAAUAAACAGACAGGUCAAUAAACAGACAGACAGGUAAAUAAACAGACAGGUCAAUAAACACACAGGUAAAUAAACAGACAGGUAAAUAAACAGACAGACAGGUAAAUAAACAGACAGGUCAAUAAACAGACAGACAGGUAAAUAAACAGACAGGUCAAUAAACUGACAGGUCAAUAAACAGACAGAUAGGUAAAUAAUCAGACAGACAGGUAAAUAAACACACAGGUAAAUAAACAGACAGGUAAAUAAACAGACCGACAGGUAAAUAAACAGACAGGUCAAUAAACAGACAGACAGGUCAAUAAACAGACAGACAGGUAAAUAAACAGACCGACAGGAAAUAAGCAGACAGAUCAAUAAACAGACAGACAGAUAAAUAAACACACAGGUAAACAAACAGACAGGUAAAUAAACAGACAGAUCAAUAAACAGAGAGACAGAUAAAUAAACACACAGGUAAACAAACAGACAGGUAAAUAAACAGACCAACAGGUAAAUAAACACACAGGUCAAUAAACAGACAGACAGGUAAAUAAACAGACAGAUCAAUAAACAGACAGACAGGUAAAUAAACAGACAGGUAAAUAAGCAGACAGAUCAAUAAACAGAGAGACAGGUAAAUAAACAGACAGGUAAAUAAACAGACAGACAGAUAAAUAAACAGACAGAUCAAUAAACAGACAGACAGAUAAAUAAACACAGGUAAACAAACAGACAGGUAAAUAAACAGACAGAUCAAUAAACAGAGAGACAGGUAAAUAAACAGACAGGUCAAUAAACAGACAGACAGGUAAAUAAACAGACAGGUAAAUAAACAGACAGGUCAAUAAACAGACAGGUAAACAAACAGACAGGUAAAUAAAAAGACAGAUCAAUAAACAGAGAGACAGGUAAAUAAACAGAUAAGUAAAUAAACAGACAGGUCAAUAAACAGACAGACAGGUAAAUAAACAGACAGGUAAAUAAACAUACAGGUAAACAAACAGACAGGUAAAUAAAAAGACAGAUCAAUAAACAGAGAGACAGUUAAAUAAACAGAUAAGUAAAUAAACAGACAGAUCAAUAAACAGACAGACAGAUAAAUAAACACACAGGUAAAUAAACAGACAGAUAGACAUACAGACAGACAGGUAAAUAAACAGACAGACAUACAGACAGACAGGUAAAUAAACAGACAGAU